Molecule: transfer RNA, 69 nt
Filed under: Ptychadena mascareniensis (Masarene ridged frog)
Lineage: Eukaryota; Metazoa; Chordata; Amphibia; Anura; Ptychadenidae
Description: tRNA-His
Rfam family: tRNA
About the family: Transfer RNA (tRNA) molecules are approximately 80 nucleotides in length. Their secondary structure includes four short double-helical elements and three loops (D, anti-codon, and T loops).
Source: RNAcentral
GUGAAUAUAGUUUUAUAAAAACCCUAGAUUGUGAUUCUGGAAAAGGGGGUUUAAACCCCCCUAUUCACC